This 497-nucleotide ribosomal RNA is filed under the name uncultured bacterium. Its description in RNAcentral is "partial 16S ribosomal RNA". It matches the Rfam family "Bacterial small subunit ribosomal RNA", at positions 28 to 507 of the family's 1533-position model. The record is from RNAcentral.
GAUGAACGCUGGCGGCGUGCCUAAUACAUGCAAGUCGAGCGAACAGACGAGGAGCUUGCUCCACUGACGUUAGCGGCGGACGGGUGAGUAACACGUGGAUAACCUACCUAUAAGACUGGGAUAACUUCGGGAAACCGGAGCUAAUACCGGAUAACAUGUUGAACCGCAUGGUUCAACAGUGAAAGACGGUUUUGCUGUCACUUAUAGAUGGAUCCGCGUCGCAUUAGCUAGUUGGUAAGGUAACGGCUUACCAAGGCAACGAUGCGUAGCCGACCUGAGAGGGUGAUCGGCCACACUGGAACUGAGACACGGUCCAGACUCCUACGGGAGGCAGCAGUAGGGAAUCUUCCGCAAUGGGCGAAAGCCUGACGGAGCAACGCCGCGUGAGUGAAGAAGGUCUUCGGAUCGUAAAACUCUGUUAUUAGGGAAGAACAAAUGUGUAAGUAACUAUGCACGUCUUGACGGUACCUAAUCAGAAAGCCACGGCUAACUACGUG